This 484-nucleotide ribosomal RNA is filed under the name uncultured bacterium. Its description in RNAcentral is "partial 16S ribosomal RNA". It matches the Rfam family "Bacterial small subunit ribosomal RNA", at positions 30 to 507 of the family's 1533-position model. The record is from RNAcentral.
AUUGAACGCUGGCGGCAGGCCUAACACAUGCAAGUCGAGCGGUUGAAGGGAGCUUGCUUCUGGAUUCAGCGGCGGACGGGUGAGUAAUUCCUAGGAAUCUGCCUGGUAUUGGGGGAUAACGUCCGGAAACGGGCGCUAAUACCGCAUACGUUCUGAGGGAGAAAGUGGGGGAUCUUCGGACCUCACGCUAUCAGCUGAGCCUAGAUCGGAUUAGGUAGUUGGUGGGGUAACGGCCUACCAAGGCGACGAUCCGUACCUGGUCUGAGAGGAUGAUCAGUCACACUGGAACUGAGACACGGCCCAGACUCCUACGGGAGGCAGCAGUGGGGAAUAUUGGACAAGGGGCGAAAGCCUGAUCCAGACAUGCCGCGUGUGUGAAGAAGGUCUUCGGAUUGUAAAGCACUUUAAGUUGGGAGGAAGGGCAGUAAGUUAAUACCUUGCUGUUUUGACGGUACCAACAGAAUAAGCACCGGCUAACUUCGUG